RNAcentral lists this long non-coding RNA (319 nucleotides) under Pan troglodytes (chimpanzee). RNAcentral describes it as "long non-coding RNA NONPTRT011326". Lineage: Eukaryota; Metazoa; Chordata; Mammalia; Primates; Hominidae. The record is from RNAcentral.
UCGCGAGGGGCAAGGGGCUGUUCGGAAGAAGAUUGUCAGGACGUUCUACAUAGAUGUGGAUGAAAGACUACAGAAGGAAGGAGCAACAAACGUCAAAAACAAAACCAUGGCUAUAAACUCUGCUGGGUUGCGACAUAAUAAUGGAUUGUGGAUUCGGUUUACCGCGUGGUGACCAGCGUAAAACACAUGCAUAAUAAUUACGCAAUAUUAUAGAAUGUCGGGGGCGGGAAGGGAAGAGAAUAAAAAUUUGCAUCCCACACAGUAAGGACUUGAAAUUUUCUUCCAGAAUCUCCGAACAAGACCCUAAGCUAUGACAUCC